Molecule: ribosomal RNA, 441 nt
Filed under: uncultured bacterium
Lineage: Bacteria
Description: bacterial SSU rRNA
Rfam family: Bacterial small subunit ribosomal RNA
Source: RNAcentral
ACGCGAGGAACCUUACCAGGUCUUGACAUCCUCUGACACUCCUAGAGAUAGGACGUUCCCCUUCGGGGGACAGAGUGACAGGUGGUGCAUGGUUGUCGUCAGCUCGUGUCGUGAGAUGUUGGGUUAAGUCCCGCAACGAGCGCAACCCUUGAUCUUAGUUGCCAGCAUGUUAAUCUGGGCACUCUAAGGUGACUGCCGGUGACAAACCAGAAGAAGGUGGGGAUGACGUCAAAUCAUCAUGCCCCUUAUGACCUGGGCUACACACGUACUACAAUGGCCAGUACAACGGGAAGCGAAGCCGCGAGGUGGAGCCAAUCCUAAAAAGCUGGUCUCAGUUCGGAUUGCAGGCUGCAACUCGCCUGCAUGAAGUCGGAAUUGCUAGUAAUCGCGGAUCAGCAUGCCGCGGUGAAUACGUUCCCGGGUCUUGCACACACCGCCCGU